RNAcentral lists this ribosomal RNA (424 nucleotides) under uncultured cyanobacterium. Its description in RNAcentral is "bacterial SSU rRNA". It matches the Rfam family "Bacterial small subunit ribosomal RNA", at positions 356 to 795 of the family's 1533-position model. The record is from RNAcentral. Lineage: Bacteria; Bacillati; Cyanobacteriota.
GGGGAAUUUUCCGCAAUGGGCGAAAGCCUGACGGAGCAACGCCGCGUGAGGGAUGAAGGCCUCUGGGCUGUAAACCUCUUUUCUCAAGGAAGAAGAUCUGACGGUACUUGAGGAAUAAGCCACGGCUAAUUCCGUGCCAGCAGCCGCGGUAAUACGGGAGUGGCAAGCGUUAUCCGGAAUUAUUGGGCGUAAAGCGUCCGCAGGCGGCCUUUCAAGUCUGCUGUUAAAGCGUGGAGCUUAACUCCAUUAAGGCAGUGGAAACUGUUGGGCUUGAGUGUGGUAGGGGCAGAGGGAAUUCCCGGUGUAGCGGUGAAAUGCGUAGAUAUCGGGAAGAACACCAGUGGCGAAGGCGCUCUGCUGGGCCAUAACUGACGCUCAUGGACGAAAGCCAGGGGAGCGAAAGGGAUUAGAUACCCCUGUAGUC